AUGGGGAGAGAGAAGCACGCAAUGGAUUCUGUGGCGGUCGUGGCGGUGCCGUUCCCGGCGCAGGGCCACCUCAACCAGCUGCUGCACCUGUCGCUGCAGCUCGCGUCGCGCGGCCUGGACGUGCACUACGCCGCGGCCGCGCAGCACAUCCGGCAGGCGCGCACGCGCGUGCACGGCUGGGGCGAGGAGGCGCUCCAGUCGAUCCAGUUCCACGACCUCGGCAUCUCCAGCUACGUCUCACCGCCUCCAGACCCCACCGCCGACUCGCCCUUCCCCUCCCACCUCAUGCCCCUGUUCGAGGCCUACACCGCCAGCGCGCGCGCCCCGCUCGCGGCCCUCCUCGAGGACCUCUCUGGUUCCUGCCGCCGCGUGGUCGUAGUGCACGACCGCAUCAACGCCUUCGCCGCUGAGGAGGCCGCGCGGCUGCCCAACGGCGAGGCGUUCGGGCUGCACUGCGUGGCCGUGUCGAUGCUCGUCGGAAGAAUCGACGCCAACCACCGGCUACUGCGUGAGAACGGCGUCGUCCUCAGCUCCGUCGAGCGCUAUGCGACCAAGGAGUUCAUAGAGUACGCCAACCGGGCCAGACCGGCGAAACAGAUCUCGACUGGCGCGGGCAUCCUGGCAAACUCAUGCCGCGCGCUCGAGGGUGAUUUCAUCGACGUUGUCGCCGGGCACCUGGCCGCCGACGGCAAGAAGCUCUUCGCCAUCGGACCGCUAAACCCACUGCUCGACGCCAGCGCGUCGAAGCAGAGCAAGCAGCGGCACGAGUGCCUGAACUGGCUCGACAAGCAGCCUCCGUCGUCCGUGCUGUACGUGUCCUUCGGCACGUCGUCGUCUCUGCGAGCGGAGCAAAUCGAGGAGCUUGCAGCAGCACUGCGCGGCAGCAGACAGAGGUUCAUAUGGGUGCUGCGCGACGCCGACCGCGGCGACAUAUUCGUGGAGGCCGGCGAGAGCCGCCACGAGAAGUUCCUAUCAGAGUUCACCAAGCAGACGGAAGGGACGGGGCUGGUGGUCACCGGGUGGGCGCCGCAGCUGGAGAUCCUAGCACACAGCGCAACGGCGGCGUUCAUGAGCCACUGUGGCUGGAACUCGACCAUGGAGAGCAUGAGCCACGGCAAGCCGAUUCUCGCCUGGCCCAUGCACUGCGACCAGCCGUGGGACGCGGAGCUUGUCUGCAACUACCUCAAGGCCGGCAUCCUCGUGCGCCCAUGGGAGAAGCACAGUGAGGUGGUCAAAGCGAAGGCCAUCCAGGAAGUCAUCGAGGAGGCCAUGCUCUCCGACAAAGGAAUGAGCAUCCGCCAACGGGCAAGGGUGCUCGGGGAUGCCGUCCGUGCCUCCGUGGCUGACGGCGGUUCAUCACGCAAGGACCUAGAUGUUUUCACUGCUUACAUCACCAGCGGCGACGACGGCAAGCGGCUACGGCGCCCGGCGGCGAGGGGCGGUGGCCAGCGGCGACGACGAGCGGCGGCGAGCCGACGGUGCUUCAAGUCUGGACACGGACGGAUCUAG
This 1509-nucleotide ribosomal RNA is filed under the name Triticum aestivum (bread wheat). RNAcentral's name for it is "partial small subunit ribosomal RNA". The record is from RNAcentral. Lineage: Eukaryota; Viridiplantae; Streptophyta; Magnoliopsida; Poales; Poaceae.